AAAAAAGCUGUGAUGGAGGAAAGUAAGUUGACUCUCGAUUUACAGCGAGCCGGGCGGGUGAGAGCCGGCAUGAAGGAGUCUUCCGAAGUUCCCUCCGGAGCUGUGGGCUGAAAUUAAGUAGGCUUCAACGGUGCCUCAGCCGUUAAAAUGAGGCGGGUAUAAAAGCUUUCUGCUUCGUACCCGAAAAAUGAGCGGGCUUUUAAGGCCAAUUAGGGUGGUACCGCGGGAAAAACUCGCCCCUUUU
Molecule: non-coding RNA, 244 nt
Filed under: Thermovenabulum gondwanense
Lineage: Bacteria; Bacillati; Bacillota; Clostridia; Thermosediminibacterales; Thermosediminibacteraceae
Description: T-box sequence
Rfam family: T-box leader
About the family: Uncharged tRNA acts as the effector for transcription antitermination of genes in the T-box leader family. T-boxes are found upstream of many aminoacyl-tRNA synthetase genes and some amino acid biosynthetic genes usually in Gram-positive bacteria. The anticodon of a specific tRNA base pairs to a specifier sequence within the T-box motif, and the NCCA acceptor tail of the tRNA base pairs to a conserved bulge in the T-box antiterminator hairpin.
Source: RNAcentral